This 207-nucleotide ribosomal RNA is filed under the name uncultured bacterium. RNAcentral describes it as "partial 16S ribosomal RNA". It matches the Rfam family "Bacterial small subunit ribosomal RNA", at positions 568 to 774 of the family's 1533-position model. The record is from RNAcentral.
CGCGUAGGCGGGUCUGUUAGUCAGAGGUGAAAUCCUGCGGCUCAACCGUAGAACUGCCUUUGAUACUGCAGAUCUUGAGUAUGGAAGAGAGUGACGGAAUUCCAGGUGUAGUGGUGAAAUACGUAGAUAUCUGGAAGAACACCAGUGGCGAAGGCGGUCAUUUGGACCAUUACUGACGCUGAGGCGCGAAAGCGUGGGGAGCAAACA